This is a long non-coding RNA of Ostrea edulis (European flat oyster), 2451 nucleotides long. RefSeq lists it as uncharacterized. The record is from RefSeq and is a predicted model, not a curated record. The transcript is spliced from 2 exons. NCBI's taxonomy places the organism in Eukaryota, Metazoa, Mollusca, Bivalvia, Ostreida, Ostreidae.
GCAAUGGAAAACACCCGUCCGGUUUGGUUUUUCAUUUUAUGACGAUGAGGUAUCGGUGGUUAACUGUGCGUUUGAGACGCUUGAAUCCACGGUAAACAAAGCGCGAAGCAAGUGAUCGUCGACAUGCCACAGCGUUGUUCUGUGCCGCUCUGUAGUAAUUAUGGUGGACAUCAGUUCCCAAAAGACAAAUAUAAACGUUUUCAGUGGAUUGUUGCAAUCAAAAGAAUUGAUCCGAAAUCAAAAAAGUUGUGGGAGCCUAAGAAUGCAGAUGUUGUUUGCCACCUUCACUUCUGCGAAAGUGAUUACAGGGACACGUCAGGUUAGAAGCCAUAAUAUCGAUCAUUAUCAAUGUAAAACACAUUUUAUAAACUUAAUGAUGAUAUUUGUCUUCCGUUUUUAUUCAUAUUCAAUUUGAGUUUCAAUUUGAUGUCAUAAAUACAGGCCAAGUAAUUGCUUCUUGUUGCGUGUUGGAAAUUUUGAUAAAAGGGCUCAUCACUUAUAAAUUCUGGCUAUAUACUAGAGCUUCCUUCCUCUAUUUCUUAGAACAAGUCAGUCUUCUUAACAAUAAAGUCAGUUCAGAUGAUGCAAUUCCUAGCCUGUAUUGCAUUAAUGAUUUCAUAUUGCUUGUAUGUACAUACAAGUGCAAGAACUUUGAAUUACAUUGCAUUUAUUUGAUUUGCAUGUGUUCGUGUUGCUUUCUGUUUUCUUUUAUAUUUCAGAAUGACGAAGGGAAUGGUAAUGACAGGCAAGUGAUAUUAUAAUAAUCUUGCUAAGAUAACCAAAUAACCAUACAUAAAGUGUAUGUAAAGCAAAGAAUAGUCCUAACAAUAAAUAUUCAGCAAUAUUAGUGUUGGAAUAAUUUAAUUACCAACAAUAAUCAGUUAUCUUUUGACUUUUUAAAGAUUAAAGCAUUAACAAUUCACUUUUUAGUCACAAAAUGUAUGACAUAGAUGGAAGGGGACACUGUACCUUAAUGUUUUCAUUCAUAAUAUCAUUUGUAUGCCAGGUUUUACAAUUAGCAUAUUCAAAAGUUGAAAUAUAUUUAAAUAAACCCUACCCCAUUUUGCCUUUGCAGACCAAAAAAAAUAAAUGUUUUUAAACUUUAUCCAAUCAAAAACAUGAAUUAAGUGAUUUAAAAUAUGCCUUUUAAUUCAUGUAUUUAUUUUUUUGGUAACAAGCUCAUAACAAAAAAUGAAAAAGUCUUUCAAAAAUUAAGAAAAUUGAAAGAGCAAACCAUCAUCUUGCUAUAAGGAUAAUGAAAUUUUGUUUUCAGCUGACCGCCUUUGCCUUAAAGAAGAUGCUGUUCCUUCCAUUCUGAUCCCUGGGGAGGAAGUUUCUGGCCCAAGCCCAAGACAGUUAAGAUUUAAGAGGAGAAACCAACCAUUGGAGGAACCUGACAUUAUGGCCAUGGGUGUACAGCAAGAAGUGGUUAUAGAUCAUACAGUAAAGACUGGGCAGGCUGAUCAAACACCAACAGAAAUCCAGGAUCUAGGAAAAAACUUUGUGCAAAAUCCCUUUGCUAUGAAAUGUUCCAUUGAAAAUUUUAAAGAUAAUGCAGAUGCUGUUUCGUAUUACACUGGUUUCAGUAAUUACGAUCAGUUUAUGAUAUUUUAUCACUGUCUUGGUCCAUGUGUAAAUGAAUUAGAUUACAAAUGUGUAACUUUAGAACCAAGGGAUCAACUUUUUUUUAACUUUGAUGAAAUUGAGACAGGCUAAAGAGGAUUUUGAAUUGUCACUUUUCUUUCAAGUUUCAGUGUCAACUGUAUCUAGGAUUGUAACAACCUGGAUAAAUUUUUUGUAUUUCCAGUUAAAGGAAAUGAACAUAUGGCCAUCACAAGACACAGUUCAAGAUUUUAUGCCUUCAAAUUUUGCAGAGAAGUUUGCAAACACUAGGGUUAUACUGGAUGCCACCAAAAUACCAGUUGAGAAGCCGUCAGAUGUCAAUGCUCAGUCCAUUACUUGGUCAAAUUAUAAGCAUAGAAAUACUAUAAAGGCAAUGAUUGGAGUGACUCCCAGAGGGGCUGUGUCAUAUGUUUCCGAUGCUUAUGGUGGGUCUGCAAGUGAUAGAAUGAUUAUUGAAAGAUCUGAUUUAUUGAAAGAUGGUAUGUUUGAGAAAGGCGACAGCAUCAUGGCUGAUCGAGGCAUCAUGGUGCAAGAUCUCUUUGCUAACAAGGAUGUUCAAGUAAAUACUCCAACAUUUUUGAAAGGUAAAUCCCAACUUGAAGCCCAUGAAGUAGUACAUGAUCGACGUGUAGCUUCAAAACGCAUACAUGUAGAAAGGGUCAUUGGUCUGGCAAAACGUUUUAAAAUUCUAAAGAAUGAACUUAGUCACAGCAAAAUUCAGCUUGGAUCCCGAAUCAUUUAUAUCUGCUUUGUGCUAAGCAAUUUUAGAAGGUCAAUUGUAGAUAAAUUUGCAUAAGUUGUGAUGAUAUUAAAGCAAAAGAGGCUAAA